GGAAAAAUAAAAAUUCAAAUUAAUCGCUAUAUUAAUUAUCAAAUUCUUUGAGAUGUGUAGAAUCCAAUUCUAAUCAACAGUAGUGUACUUGGAACAGCAGCAGUUGUGAAGAAGAUGAGGAUUCAGUAUCCACACAUGGGGGGGGUGUAAAUGUUAGUGUCCCAUCACAUUAAGUUCUGAUUAAUAGGAGAAACAAAAGCUGAAACUACCAUGUUCAAAAUUUUUCACAAUUAAUAGGACAAAUAUUCAGCUCCAAAAUUUUCACUACAUGACAAGAGUCAUCACUUGGAGAAGAGAAGCAAUGAUAGAGUGCAUACAAUAGCAACUAACCAUAAACAUGAUCAUCAAAAUUACAGAUUGUGACAAACAUGAACUAAAGCUUCAUGUCUUUUUCUGUGUCCCACAGCCUGAUCAGAUUGUGCCAAUAUUGGUAUGAUUAACUUCUCUUUGGCAAUGGCAUACCACCUAUAUAUCUCUUUCCCUUCUCAAUUCAAUCUAUACAUACAAUCUACACCUUACUUUCCUUUAAUAAUAUUAGGAUAAAUUCAAUCGCCAAAUCACAAAUCAAAUCUAAUCUAAUCAUAAAACUUUUUCCAAUUAAUAUCACUUCAAAUUUUAAUUUGUAGAUUUCAAGAAAAGUUAAUUAGUCGGUUGAUUAAUUAUUUAAUUAUUGAUAGAUUCUAUCAAUAAUGUAAUUUAACAGUUAUACAAUGAGAGAAAUAACUUUUCUCUUUAAAUUUGAACUCUUGAAAGUUUACUUUUUUACAUAUACGGCGAUUGGUUGCAUGGUUAAUUAAAAAGUUAUUAUCUACAAUGGUAGCAAAUUAGUUAGGCACAUUUAUGAUACUGGGAUUUGUAUAAAAACCCACUUAAUUAGAAUUGCAACUAAUGAUAUUAAUUGCCAUAAAUCUGGCAAUUCAUAACAUGCAAGAAAAAUCAUAAUAAUGAAUGAAGGAAAUCAUAUUCUAUCCAAUACCCACAACAUCUUGCUCAUCAGAUUGUAUAAAGUGAAACAAGGAACGAAAAUCAAAGUAUGUACACACCAUGUGUGAGCAAAUAUCGAAGGCAAAGAUACAGAAAAAUACAACCACGAAAGCAAUUGUUACCUGUCAUUUUGUGCUCCAAAGCAUGUGCCUUUGAAUUAUACCAUCAUCUCCAGGUCCCUCCAUUCAUCCAUCCACCUUUCAAUGUCUCUUUGUCUUCAAAGGCAUUCUCUCUUUCAUUUUUCUUUUACUUUCCUUUUCUUAGCAUAACUCGUGUGGUAAACCAUCAAUAAAUCGAAAAACCUAGGUGAUGUAUAAUUUAAGGUAAAAACCUCAACCCACAAAUUAUAUAUAAUGAUAAUAUGCAAUUUGGACUGAAUCAUGUAUGGUUUUCCUUCUCAUUAGAGCAAACAUAUAUCAAUCACUUUUUCUUGUUCUUAUCUUUUCCAUUGAAGAAGAUUGAACCUAAGCCAAAUAAAUUCCCCGAUGGAACAUUUAACACUGGAUUAACACGGACGCCAUUGCCAUAAGAUCCAUAGUUCUUCUUCAAUGGAGGUUUUUGGUAACUGGUUGAUGAGGAUGAUGAUUGAUGCUUCAUGAAUGCUUGUUUGUGCUGCUUAUGAUUAGAACUACUUUCCCUUGACAUUGGCACCCUCUUUACGCUGCUAGGUACAGACCCAGUAGAGUUGCUUCUAGAUAGAAGUGGCAAAGGACAUAAGCUCCUUCCAUAGCCACUCACACAAUUCAAACUGCUACUCCUCUUGAACCGCCAAAAUGACUUUGAGGUUUGCUUCUCCUCUGCUAGUUCAUCACUUGCACCCUUCACUUCCUUCAUCGUCUCUUUCUUGCUUGAAAUAUCUUGGCGUAGGGCAUGCAGUGGAGGCGAAGACUUAUCCAUCUGCUUUGCUGGGGCUGUCUUUUUCUUGAUUUCUGUAGGGAGAAUCUUUCCGUCGGAGAAAAGCUCAUCUGCUGGUGAUGAUUCCUGAUCGAAGCUCUUACGAGUACAGAAGUCGAAAUCAAUGCUGCCCACUGAGUUUGAUCGAAGAGGGUGUUGCUCAACAGGAACAAUGUCCGAGAGACACAAGUCAUGAGAAAAUGAAAUUCUUGGACUAAUACCAGCAGAAUUAUCUGAACAGAGUUGGAUUGCCAUUUCUUCAACUUUUUUCAAGAAAACAAGAAAAACAUUCAAGCGCAACGCUAAAUGAAAAUUUUGAGACAAUUCCAGGGUCAAGGAUCAAGGUUUUCUUAUCAAGAAAGAAAUCACUAAGAUUGGAAAAAACCUAACAAAGACUACAUUUAAUGUCAUAACAACAGACCAUAAAAAUGGAAAAUGAUGUAUUGAAAACCCAAAAUAAUAUUUUAUAAAGACAAGAGAGGAUGUAAAAGAGAACCCAAUAAAGGAUUUGUAAAAGCAAUUCUGAUGCGGGUAGCAAAUUGAAGGUUAAAGAUAAGGACCUAUAAACCAUAUAUGCAAUAAAUGGUACUAAUCCCAAGUUUCAAAAGAUGAUUACUGAGGAAGAUAAGGACCUGUGAAGUACCAUUUUGAAACGAGUUAGAACCUUGAAGCAGAGAUUUUGGGAGACUGAGUCUAACAAGAUGAGAGGUGUUGGUCGUUUGUUUGAGAAAGGGAGAGAUAAAAACAGAGACGUGAAGGGAGCUUUAGCACUAAAAAUCGAACUGGGUGGAGUUGGUUAUAGGACAAUAAUGGUCUGCUGCUAGAAACGGGUAGGCAUGUUUCCG
This 2723-nucleotide unclassified non-coding RNA is filed under the name Hevea brasiliensis (rubber tree). Lineage: Eukaryota; Viridiplantae; Streptophyta; Magnoliopsida; Malpighiales; Euphorbiaceae. The record is from RNAcentral.